Molecule: ribosomal RNA, 356 nt
Filed under: uncultured bacterium
Lineage: Bacteria
Description: partial 16S ribosomal RNA
Rfam family: Bacterial small subunit ribosomal RNA
Source: RNAcentral
CCUACGGGUGGCAGCAGUGGGGAAUAUUGCACAAUGGGGGAAACCCUGAUGCAGCCACGCCGCGUGAGUGAGGAAGUAUUUCGGUAUGUAAAGCUCUAUCAGCAGGGAAUAGAAAAGACGGUACCUGAAAAAGAAGCACCGGCUAACUACGUGCCAGCAGCCGCGGUACUACGCAGGGGGCACGCGUUAUCCGGAUGUACUGGGUGUAAAGGGAGCGUAGACGGAAAGGCAAGUCAGAAGUGAAAACCCAAGACUCAACCAUGGGACUGCUUUUGAAACUGUCGAACUAGAGUACGGGUGAGGUAGGAGGAAUUCGUGGUGUAGCGGUGAAAUGCGUAGAUAUUAGGAGGAACACC